UACGUAGGGGGCAAGCGUUGUCCGGAUUUAUUGGGCGUAAAGAGCGUGUAGGCGGCCAGGUAGGUCGGUUGUGAAAACUCGAGGCUCAACCUCGAGAUGUCGACCGAAACCAUCUGGCUAGAGUCCGGAAGAGGAGAAUGGAAUUCCCGGUGUAGCGGUGAAAUGCGCAGAUAUCGGGAAGAACACCCGUGGCGAAGGCGGUUCUCUGGGACGGUACUGACGCUGAGGAGCGAAAGCCAGGGGAGCAAACGGG
This 253-nucleotide ribosomal RNA is filed under the name uncultured bacterium. Its description in RNAcentral is "partial 16S ribosomal RNA". It matches the Rfam family "Bacterial small subunit ribosomal RNA", at positions 524 to 776 of the family's 1533-position model. The record is from RNAcentral.